This 468-nucleotide ribosomal RNA is filed under the name uncultured bacterium. Its description in RNAcentral is "partial 16S ribosomal RNA". It matches the Rfam family "Bacterial small subunit ribosomal RNA", at positions 28 to 507 of the family's 1533-position model. The record is from RNAcentral.
GACGAACGCUGGCGGCGUGCUUAACACAUGCAAGUCGAACGGUGAAGCUCCAGCUUGCUGGAGUGGAUCAGUGGCGAACGGGUGAGUAACACGUGAGCAACCUGCCCCUGACUCUGGAAUAAGCGCUGGAAACGGCGUCUAAUACUGGAUACGAGAAGGGUCCGCAUGGGCACUUUCUGGAAAGUUUUUCGGUUGGGGAUGGGCUCGCGGCCUAUCAGCUUGUUGGUGAGGUAAUGGCUCACCAAGGCGACGACGGGUAGCCGGCCUGAGAGGGCGACCGGCCACACUGGGAGUGAGACACGGCCCAGACUCCUACGGGAGGCAGCAGUGGGGAAUAUUGCACAAUGGGCGAAAGCCUGAUGCAGCGACGCCGCGUGAGGGAUGACGGCCUUCGGGUUGUAAACCUCUUUCAGCAGGGAAGAAGCGAAAGUGACGGUACCUGCAGAAGAAGCACCGGCUAACUACGUG